Long non-coding RNA from Sapajus apella (tufted capuchin), 2330 nucleotides. RefSeq lists it as uncharacterized. The record is from RefSeq and is a predicted model, not a curated record. The transcript has 2 exons. Lineage: Eukaryota; Metazoa; Chordata; Mammalia; Primates; Cebidae.
AGCAGAAAUUAUCUGUGAGGUUAUAAAUAAUUGGGUUUUUAAGAACUGUUCUUUUUAUAUAAAAUAAAAAAUAUACUUGAUAGAUGAUAAAUAAUAGAUGAUGUUUCAGUUUCCUAGAGUUGCUGUAACAAAUUACCAUAGGCUGGAUGGAUGAAAACAACAGAAAUUUAUUUCCUCACAGUUCUGGAGGUUAGAAGCCUGAAAUCAAGUAGGCUUGGUCUUUUCUAAAGGCCAUAAAGAACUCAUUCCAUGUCUCUCUUGCAGCUUCUGGUGGUGGCUAGCAGUCCUUGAGUAACUAACUGCCUCUGUCCUCAUGGAGCUAUAUCUGUUUUGUAUCUCCUUCUCUCUUAUUGUAAGGACACUACUCAUCGGGUUUGGAGCCCACCCUAAAUCCAGGGUAAUUAUAUCAUGAGAUCCCCUAAUCACAUCUAUAAAGACUCUAUUUCCAAAUAUGGUCACCUUCACAGGUGUAUCAGGUUAGGACUCAGACUUACUUUCUGGGGGACAAGAUUCAACCCACUAUAGACAGAAAUUCUACAGGAUCUGCACUAAGAAGUUGCCUAUCCUAAGGACUACAGACAGAGGUUGUUGCUAAGUAGUUUUGUAGUAAGAAGAGACAAAAGACCUUAAAAUUAACCAUAUAUAAGAAUAAAUGUAAGAAUUUUUCAAAUUAAAUUGGAGACCAUACCAAUUUUAAUCACUCAUCUUUAAUAAUAAAAUAGGUUCCUAUGCAGCACAUACCUCAGACAUAAACUUAAGGUUCUGUUUAACAACCCCCCCAAAAAAAGGGAUAGAAAAGUGUCACUAAAUAACAAAGUAAAUAUCUUUAAACAUCAAGACCUUAAAGUCAUAUCCAAGCAAAAAGACCAAGAAUAAGUUAACCCAGCUUGUUUACAAAAAUAAUUAUUUAUCAAGUAAUGUUUUAUAUCAGAGCUACCUCAAUGAAUUGCCUCAGACUUAAUCUCAAUUGUGUAGCUUAUUUCCUUUAGGGAUAAAAAGUAUCUGAAUAAGUGUGUCAUUAAAUAAAGGGAUACUUUACCAAAAACAAUAAAAAAGUUUAAAAAUAAAAACUGUCAUUUAUAAAAUAUCAAAUAAGGCCUCUGACUGAGAAAAGAAAUCUAUGUAAUGUUUGAGUCAUCAGCCCUUUUCUAUUCAAUUAGCCUCAUCCACCCCACUCGCACCAAACUUAAGAUAGAAAAAUUUUCUGAAGUGUAGUUUUGAAUUUUACCGGUAUAUGAAAUUAUACAUACAAUUACCAUAUAAAGUAAUACUUAUUUAACAAAUUACGUACUCAAAGUAGAAUUUCCUAUGUCUUAAUUUUAAUAUGUAUUCAUUAUAAAUGAGUACAAUAUAUUUAAUCAUGUUUGAUACUCUUAUCCCUUUUUACUACAAUCACCACAACAUAAGAAAAUUUAGUUUUCAACUGAUGUUAAAGCACAUAUCUGUAUCUGGUGGCUUUUAAAAAAUUUACAUACUAUAUAUUUGACAUUUUAAAAGACCACAGAAAACAAAUACUUCUAAAUCCACAGAUCAUCCCACCCCACUCCCACUUUCAGCUGAAAGGUCUUAAGAAAAAUCUUACAGAUUAUGAGGAUCAGAUGGAGCCUGAAAACAGAUUCAGAAAUUUUUCUUUUUUUGAAAUUUUAAUUCACUUUCUUUUCGUAUCUCAAGAAUACUUAAAGAAAAAAAAGGGUUUUAUGAGCCAGAAGAAUUCCCAAUUCACUUUUUAAAUUACCAUACCUUUCUUGCUAUAGCAAACAUUUCAAUUCUGUUAACUAAAUGAACUACAUAAUAUCCUUAAAAAUCAGCCAGAGAAGAGAAAAACAAAUUUAUCUUCAUUACUGACUUCAAACCAAAACUUAUUCUUUCAAAGGAGUAGUUUAACCUACUAAAAAUGUCUAUUAUAAGAUCUUCUUUCUUAGAAAGUAGUAUUCCUUCUUUUUCAUUCCUGAAAUGAUAUUUCUUACACUUCAAUAAGCUAUGGACAAUUGUUAGCUAAGUAUCAGUUAUGGUAAGUUGCUAAAAUUAUCUCUUUUGUUGAUGGUACAUAUAACACAUUCAUUCCUAUAGCCUUUAUAACUUUUCUUUCACAAAAAAUUAAAUAAAUGUGAAAGCAGGCAAUCACUAAAGCUGAAGUCUCAUGGUACAUAAACUUUGUAUUAACUUUGACGCCAAAUUGGAAGGAUGAAAUUUAGCAUACAAAUCCUCAGUUCACAAAACAGUGCCCAAAAUGUAUAUUUUUAGAUUGGUAUAAUUUUAUGAAUUCUCAAACAUUUACUGGGAAUAUUCAAGCUUACCUUAUUAAUCACCCAGAAAGCCAGCACAACUGC